RNAcentral lists this ribosomal RNA (439 nucleotides) under Theileria sp. RNAcentral describes it as "SSU rRNA". It matches the Rfam family "Eukaryotic small subunit ribosomal RNA", at positions 446 to 924 of the family's 1831-position model. Lineage: Eukaryota; Apicomplexa; Aconoidasida; Piroplasmida; Theileriidae. The record is from RNAcentral.
UAAAUCUGACCCAGGGAGGUAGUGACAAGAAAUAACAAUACGGGGCUUUACGUCUUGUAAUUGGAAUGAUGGGAAUCUAAACCUCUUCCAGAGUAUCAAUUGGAGGGCAAGUCUGGUGCCAGCAGCCGCGGUAAUUCCAGCUCCAAUAGCGUAUAUUAAAAUUGUUGCAGUUAAAAAGCUCGUAGUUGAAUUUCUGCUGCAUCGCCUUUUCUCCUUUACGAGUUUUGGCAUUGUGGCUUAUUUCGGAUUUGCUUGCAUUUCCGAAUGUUUACUUUGAGAAAAUUAGAGUGCUCAAAGCAGGCUUUUGCCUUGAAUAGUUUAGCAUGGAAUAAUAAAGUAGGACUUUGGUUCUAUUUUGUUGGUUUUAGGUACCAAAGUAAUGGUUAAUAGGAACAGUUGGGGGCAUUCGUAUUUAACUGUCAGAGGUGAAAUUCUUAGA